CUGGCUCAGAACGAACGCUGGCGGCAUGGACUAGGCAUGCAAGUCGAACGAAGCAGCAAUGCUUAGUGGCGGAAGGGUGAGGAACGCGUGAGUAAUCUGCCCUCAAGUUGGGAAUAACAGCUGGAAACGGCUGCUAAUACCGAAUGUGGCUGCAAGACCGCAUGAUUUUGCAGUUAAAGAUUUAUUGCUUGAGGAUGAGCUCGCGUCCCAUUAGCUAGUUGGUGAGGCAACGGCUCACCAAGGCGAUGAUGGGUAGCUGGUCUGAGAGGAUGGUCAGCCACACUGGGACUGAGACACUGCCCAGACUCCUACGGGAGGCUGCAGUCGAGAAUCUUGGGCAAUGCGCGAAAGCGUGACCCAGCAAUGCCGCGUGCGCGAUGAAGGUCUUCGGAUUGUAAAGCGCUGUCAACCGGGACGAAAAAUGACGGUACCGGUGGAGGAAGCCACGGCUAACUACGUGCCAGCCGCAGC
RNAcentral lists this ribosomal RNA (471 nucleotides) under uncultured bacterium. Its description in RNAcentral is "bacterial SSU rRNA". It matches the Rfam family "Bacterial small subunit ribosomal RNA", at positions 19 to 518 of the family's 1533-position model. The record is from RNAcentral.